This is a long non-coding RNA of Daphnia carinata, 397 nucleotides long. RefSeq lists it as uncharacterized. The record is from RefSeq and is a predicted model, not a curated record. NCBI's taxonomy places the organism in Eukaryota, Metazoa, Arthropoda, Branchiopoda, Diplostraca, Daphniidae. The transcript is spliced from 3 exons.
CCAUUUUGAAAUAUGUGGCAACGUUGCUUGAGUUUUGUGAACCGCCAUCAGUCGCCAUUUGCUAGUUCAUUGUCGUGUGUGAAACAUGUGGUGUGCAUCUGACGGGCGAAAUAUUGGACACAUCAGGCAGCAAUGGGAAUAUCACAAGUUGUGAACAAGAUGUGGUGCCUUGGCCCUCGUUCUCUCAUCUCCAUGCCAGAUGGCCAUUAAGAAGGAUCAUAAAUGUGUGGCAAUAUCAUUCUUCCAUAUUCCACUAUUGUAUUAUUCUUUGCCAUUAUUUUCAUCUCAUACCAUGAACACAAGAAGAAUUUAUUUGCUUGCCAUCAUGGAUGGUAACUCGUGUCCUUAAAAGAUUGUGGAGACAAACAUUGUGGUUCUAGCGGUUUCCUUAGUUAGG